This 205-nucleotide long non-coding RNA is filed under the name Linum usitatissimum (flax). RNAcentral's name for it is "long non-coding RNA (LUSI_LNC000056)". Lineage: Eukaryota; Viridiplantae; Streptophyta; Magnoliopsida; Malpighiales; Linaceae. The record is from RNAcentral.
UCUAAGGAGCUUCUGGUUCCACUAUUAGGUGGCAGAUGAACUUGUAGCCGAGUUUGCAGAUCCCAGUAGCAAUCUUGCAGGCCCAGACCAGGUCGUUGUAUCGGUUGACCAGUUCAUAGACUUGUCAUCUUUCAUCGCAUCAUGGGAAAUGAAUCUUAAACCUCUAACGAUAUGUUAAUUGACAGCCCCAGUUUGACGAGAAAAA